AUACGAAGGGGGCUAGCGUUGUUCGGAAUUACUGGGCGUAAAGCGCGCGUAGGCGGACUGGUCAGUUGGGGGUGAAAUCCCAGGGCUUAACCCUGGAACUGCCUCCAAUACUGUCAGUCUUGAGUUCGGGAGAGGUGAGUGGAAUUCCUAGUGUAGAGGUGAAAUUCGUAGAUAUUAGGAAGAACACCAGUGGCGAAGGCGGCUCACUGGCCCGAUACUGACGCUGAGGCGCGAAAGCGUGGGGAGCAAACAGGAUUAGAUACCCUAGUAGUCC
RNAcentral lists this ribosomal RNA (274 nucleotides) under uncultured bacterium. RNAcentral's name for it is "partial 16S ribosomal RNA". It matches the Rfam family "Bacterial small subunit ribosomal RNA", at positions 523 to 796 of the family's 1533-position model. The record is from RNAcentral.